Molecule: ribosomal RNA, 3243 nt
Filed under: Triticum aestivum (bread wheat)
Lineage: Eukaryota; Viridiplantae; Streptophyta; Magnoliopsida; Poales; Poaceae
Description: partial small subunit ribosomal RNA
Source: RNAcentral
AUGCCGGCCAGCACGCUGCUGGUGGUUGGUGGGUGGGUAUUCUCGCCGAUCAUCAAGGAGCUCAUCGGCGAGGCCAGAUCCUUGGUGAGCAGCAAGUACUCGAGCUUCAAACAUCUGACCAAGCACCUCCGUCAGCUUGUAGAUGUCCUGGAGGAGAUGACCGCGACCGUCGAGGCCGUGCAGCAGCAGGCUGAACUGCGGCGCUCCGACGAGGACGUCUCCGCCGGCGGCGGGAUGGCUAGCUGGGUGGGCCGGCUCGUCGACGCCAUCCACGAUGUGGAGUCCGUCCUGGACGUCUUCACCUACGACGACAUCGUCAUGUCCAACCUGCGCGACAACAAGGUCGCUCAGGUUGCUCACUCCGCGGCCAGAGCCGGCCGACGGCUGAUCGGCAGGGACAAGGCGUUCAACCGGCUCAAGAAACUCCUGGACGAGCUUCCGCUUAUCCAGCAGAGCCUGCGGGAUCUCGCCCAGCUGCCGCGGAACGACUCCGGCGGCAGCCGGGGCCGAGGAUACUCGCGCUCCGUGUCACGAAAGGCGACUGGCCCGCUGCUACCGGGGGCGACGGGCCAAGAACUGUUCGUGGGGUACGAGCGGGAGUAUGGCCGGCUCGUCUCGGCCCUGCUCAACGACGUCAGCGACCAGCCCAGUAGCAGCAGCAGCAACAAGAAUGUCGUGGCGGUCAUCGGCCACAGCGGCAUCGGGAAGACCAUGAUCGCUCGGCGGGCAUGGCAUGACGAGAGAAUCAACGGGAACAACAACAAGAAGCACUUCGAUCUGAUGGUGUGGGCGAGCGUUGGAUGCAUGUUCACCGAGACCGAGCUGUUGGCCGAGAUCUGGAGGUCCAUCCCCGGAUCAAGCGGCGUGGAGGAGAAAUGCGCCGCCGCGGGGAUGAGCUUCGGCGUGCUACAGCAGGCGAUCAGCGGGCUGGUCGGCUCCAGGAGGUGCCUGCUCGUGCUCGACGACGUGUGCAACGACGAGUCCGGCCGUGACUGGACGGAGAAGAUGAGGACAACUUGGGAGGACGUGCUAGCCCCGUUCCGGGACGGAGGCAACGGGAGCAGGAUCCUGGUGACGUGCCGAGCUACCAUCUGCGCCAAGGUGCUCGGUGCCGGCACCAAGAUCCCGCUGAAUGGGCUCCGUGCCGACGACCUCGUCCUCGUGCUCAAGAAAACCGCCUUCGGUGACGCCCAUAAAGAAACUCCGGUUCUCGACGGUGUGAUCAGGAGUGUCGCGGAGCAGCUGAGGGGCUCGCCAUCGGCGGCGAAAACUAUCGUCGGCAUGGUGAGGAAUAAACAACGGAAGAAAGACUGGAAGAAACUGUUGGAGAAGGUAGGGUCAUGGUACGCCGGUGAGGUUCCUCUUGCUGGCGCUGCCUACGAGUCCAGCCUGCGGUCUUGCUUGAAAUUUUGCAGCAUGUUCCCCGACAAAUGGGAGUUCGAGGCUGAAACGUUGGUCAAGAUGUGGAUUGCACAUGGCAUCAUCCGCGGUGACCACGGCCAGAGCAUGGAGGAUGUCGGGAGAGAAUACGUCAGAGCGCUACAGGCAAGGUCCAUGCUCAAAACCAUCUCCAGGGAUGGCAGAGCGACCUGCUUUGCCAUCCAUGAGCAGGUGUCAGUCUGCGCGACCGGGUUCUUGAGAUUAAGCAACGAUGAUCUUGUCAGAAGAAGGGGUAGCAUCCCGGCAAGUGUUCGACACCUAUCCCUGACCGGCGGAGGUUGCCUUGCCCUAGCACAGCUCAAGGACAACCCUGUGUUGAAGAAGCUGCGGACACUGUUAAUCUUCGAUGAUGGCCACUCAAGCUCGGGCACUGCUGUUUCCGCCAUUGACAACCAUGUACUGAAGCAGCUCAAGGCCGUCAGAGUGGUCGACUUUGCCGGCACACGCAUCACCGAGUUGCCGAAAGGCGUCGGCAAGCUGAAGCAUCUGCGGUAUUUAGGUCUGCCCGACUCUGUCAGGAGCAUUCCGGCCGCGGUUACCAAGCUGCUGCACCUACAGACACUGUCUCUCGGCAAAGACUGCAAGCUUGAUGGCGACCAUGGGUUCCCGGGUGAUGGCAUGAGCAGGUUGAUCAACCUUCGGCACCUCGACAUGGACAUGAAGUACGUUGCCAUGAUACGUGGCAUCGGGAGGCUGGAGAAACUCCAGGGAUCAGUAGAGUUCUGCGCCGACAGGGGAAGGGGGCAUGGCAUGGAAGAGCUCGCAGGCAUCCACUCCAUCCACGGCACGCUCACCGUGAAGGGGCUUCAGGCCGUCGCCAACAAAGAAGAAGCUCAGAAGGCUCAGCUCGGCAGGAAAGAUUUUCUCAAGACCCUGAAGCUAGAAUGGGAGCCCCCAAAGUUGGGGGACCGGCGAACUUGCUCCACCUCCAUGGACUCACACGAGCAAGUCCUCGAGGGGCUCCAGCCGAACGGUAGGAUCGAGGAGCUACAAAUCCAGAGGUACCAGGGCGCAUCGUCGCCUAGCUGGUUGGAGAGCAACCUGCUGGCGAGCCUGAGCCACCUGAAUCUCGUAAACUGCAGGAACUGGCGAGUGCUGCCAUGCCUGAGCCAGCUUCCUGACCUCAGAGUCUUGCACAUCAAAGAGAUGUACGCCAUUGCUCGGAUCGACCACAGGCUGUACGGCUCCGGCGUGCUCCAGUCGCUGGAGAAACUGGUGCUGAAUGACAUGCCCAGUUUGGUCGAGUGGAGCGCCGAAUCGAGCGACCGUGCGUUUCCUCGUCUCCAGGAGAUACUCAUCCUCAACUGCCCCAGACUGGCGAAGCUGCCCCGGGUGCCGGCCACCGUGAAGAAGAUGAGGAUAGAGAAGGACAGCAGCUCCUACUACCUGGACAUGGCCUUCUCCCCCAAAUCCAGCUCCUUCACGCUGGACGUCCACGGGGAGGCCCUCCAGCUGCUGCAGCAGGACUUGCUGCACCGGGAUCACGCGCUGGCCGUCAGCGCCUUGAGCAUCAGCAAGUACGCAGGGGAGAGCGAGGUGAACGUCAAGCUCCUGUCGUCGGUGCGGAGCCUCUCGCUGAGCCGAUGCGUCGUCACGGACAGGCUGCUGGGGGUGUUCUUCCAGAACCUGCAGUCCCUGGAGAAACUGCAGAUAUCUGACUGCGGCGACUUCCUUGAGUUCCCCGAGGACGCCAUGCCGCCGUCGUUGAAAUCCAUCGAGGUGAACCGAUGCCACCCGACGCUCGCGCAGAAGCUGCGUGGCAGCGCUAGAAUUUCUUCGAUUCCCAGGGUACACAUUUGCUGA